GCUUGGAUGGUGGAAUGGUAGACACUAGGGACUUAAAAUCCCUUGCCGGUAACGGCGUGCGAGUUCGACUCUCGCUCCGAGCA
This 83-nucleotide transfer RNA is filed under the name Chlamydiota bacterium. RNAcentral's name for it is "Chlamydiae bacterium (freshwater metagenome) tRNA-Leu". It matches the Rfam family "tRNA". From Rfam's summary of the family: Transfer RNA (tRNA) molecules are approximately 80 nucleotides in length. Their secondary structure includes four short double-helical elements and three loops (D, anti-codon, and T loops). The record is from RNAcentral. Lineage: Bacteria; Pseudomonadati; Chlamydiota.